GAGUUUGAUCGUGGCUCAGGAUGAACGCUGGCGGCGUGCUUAACACAUGCAAGUCGAACGAAGCAUUUAGGAUUGAAGUUUUCGGAUGGAUUUCCUAUAUGACUGAGUGGCGGACGGGUGAGUAACGCGUGGGGAACCUGCCCUAUACAGGGGGAUAACAGCUGGAAACGGCUGCUAAUACCGCAUAAGCGCACAGAGCUGCAUGGCUCGGUGUGAAAACUCCGGUGGUAUGGGAUGGGCCCCGCGUCUGAUUAGGCAGUUGGCGGGUAACGGCCCACCAAACCGACGAUCAGUAGCCGGCCUGAGAGGGCGACCGGCCACAUUGGGACUGAGACACGGCCCAAACUCCUACGGGAGGCAGCAGUGGGGAAUA
This 373-nucleotide ribosomal RNA is filed under the name uncultured bacterium. Its description in RNAcentral is "bacterial SSU rRNA". It matches the Rfam family "Bacterial small subunit ribosomal RNA", at positions 9 to 363 of the family's 1533-position model. The record is from RNAcentral.